CGCCGCGGUUAUACGAGAAGCUCAAAUAGACAAGCAAACGGCGUAAAGCAUGGCUAGGAAUCAUUAAAAAUAAAGUAGAACGCCCUCAAAACUGUUAUACGUAUUCGAGGUCAAAGAAAAUCAUAUACGAAAGUGACUUUAUUACACCUGACCCAUGAAAGCCUAGAAA
Molecule: ribosomal RNA, 169 nt
Filed under: Parapercis ommatura
Lineage: Eukaryota; Metazoa; Chordata; Actinopteri; Uranoscopiformes; Pinguipedidae
Description: partial 12S rRNA
Source: RNAcentral